This 919-nucleotide long non-coding RNA is filed under the name Oryctolagus cuniculus (rabbit). RNAcentral's name for it is "lncRNA (ENSOCUG00000037606.1)". The record is from RNAcentral. Lineage: Eukaryota; Metazoa; Chordata; Mammalia; Lagomorpha; Leporidae.
GUAACUACUGCCCAGUCCAGGUGGCUCUACAAGGUUUCAAGACAAAAGAAGCCCCAGAAACCUGAUCUGCACCAGCAAGAAGACUUCCUGUGGAAGGACCUCUUGAAGGUAACCAUGAUCGUCCACAGGAAGAUGGACUCCGAGACGCCCAGCUCAGAAUCCUCGCCCUUCCUGAAGAGGUGUUGAGUGUCCCUCGUCCUCGCUGCCCCCAGGACAGGACCCCGUGGCUUCUCUGGCUGCCCCCAGGAGAAAAGGAUCGACCAUCAUGAGAAGGACUCCAAGACCCUCAGCUUCCAAAUCCUCGCCCUUCAGGAACAGGUGUUGAAUGUCCUUCAUCCUCGCUGCAAACAGGAGAGGACCCCAUGUCUUCUCUGCCAUCCCCCAGGUCACUAGAUUGUCCAAAGGAAGAUGGACUCUGAGACACCCAGCUUAGAAUCCUCGCCCUUCCAGAAGAGGUGUGGAAUGUCGCUCAUCCUCGCUGGCCCCAGGACAGGACCCCAUGGGUUCCCUGGCUGCCCCCAGGUCACCACGAUCAUUAAAGGAAGAAGCACUCCGAGACACCCAGCUUUGGAAUCCUCGCCCUUCCAGAAGAGGUACUGAAUGUCCCUUGUCCUCGCUGCCCCAAGGACAGGACCCCGUGGAUUCUCUGUCUGCCCCCAGAUUACACAACCCUCCUCUCAAAGAUGGACUCCAGGAUGCCCAGCUUAGAAUCCUCGCCCUUCCAGAAGAGGUGUUGAAUGUCCCUCGUCCUCGCUGCCCCAAGGACAGCACCCCGUGGCUGCUCCAUCCCCGGGGAGCAGCUGCUGCCUGGGAAGAACCUCGUUGCCUCUGUUGGUGCCCAUGGAUUGCCCUGCACUACUGCCUCUGUGCCUGCAAUGAACAGAUUUAUGAGUUUAAGAGAAAUCCAUUAGGUCAAUAA